Molecule: long non-coding RNA, 2548 nt
Organism: Argentina anserina (silverweed cinquefoil)
Lineage: Eukaryota; Viridiplantae; Streptophyta; Magnoliopsida; Rosales; Rosaceae
Exons: 3
Source: RefSeq, a predicted model, not a curated record
UUAGGGACAUUCAUCAGACAUUAUUCCUCGUUCAUAAGGAAAAUAAAAUCGAGAAUGAAAUUCAGUCCACGGCUGUGGCGCCCCACAGCGUUAAAUCCACCGCGCGUGUUUAGCACCGGUAAUUUGUUUAAAGCAACAGACGACGCGCCCCCAAAAUUUACUCUCAUCUGACUCUGUUCAAAGCAUCGUUCUUUGGGAGAAAGAUCGAAACGGAUCCCUCAACUAUCAGUCUCCCUCGAAAGAUUCUUCUCUGUUUCAAUCACAUUAGAACCAGCAACCUCAACUAUUUUCUUCUUCUUGUUUUCUUCGGUUCUUCUUGUUUCUUCGGUUCUUCUUGUGCUUCGAUCGAAGCCCAAAAUGGCUUGGUGCUUGGAGAAACUCGACGUUGCCGUCUUUGAAGUUGCCCAGUUGGGCUACUGUUUUUGUAGCUGAACAAAGACGGGGAUCGGUGGAAGAUGAGAUUCUCGAAGUGGGUUUUUGUUGGGCUGGUUUGUACGGCUUUGGUUUUGGAGUUUGGUUCUGGGGAGGAAGCUCGAAUUGAGAGGAUUUCAUGUAGGUAAACUGUAAAGACUUCAUUUUUAGAUGGAAACUUUGUAUUUGUCGUACUGGGUUUGGUUGCUUAGUUAUAGUGUGCACUGCUAUCUAAAUUAGUUCAAUUGGACAUGUCUGUUGGAUGUUAGUUUAGCUGUACGAGUUGUUUGUUCUUCUUCUUAGUUUUGAUUUUGGCAAUAUUGAUCUUAUUCUAGGAAAUUACUGGUAUGUGAUUCAUAGUUUUGAUUCGGCAUUUUGAGUGUUGAUUGUGUUGAGUUGUUCUCUGUCUGGAAUGAUUACUUGUUUAAGCUUUUUCUGAUUGGAGACUCUGGGGUUGAGAAGUCGUGUCUUCUUCUAAAGUUUGCUGUAAGUUGUCGACACUCUUGCUAUAUUGUCUCUAAAAGUCUAGACUCUGCAUCAUUGUUUUUACUUGCUGGAAUCAAAAGUAAAUCGCUAGUCUGAUUACUACUUAGUAGUUGAAAUGAAUUCCCGGCUGCAUCACUAGUUUGUUCUAUAUACAUGCGCCAUUUGGUCUGAAUUAUCCUGGAUUUUGGUAGUUAUACUGUUACACUAAUUGGUAAAUAGGGUUCCAUGAAGGAUGAGACCUGGAUCUUAUCCGCAGUUGUAUUUUUCACCAGAUUAGUUAUCUGAAGUCCCUUAUUUCAUCAAGAGAAUAACCCUAAAUAGUUAUUGAGCUAUGCGGAAGCCUGAAAAUUAUAGCUUUCUGUGUGCUCUGUGAGAUUUGGUAUGUGACUUGAUAAGUUAUGACUUAUGACAGAGAAUGUAGUGUUUUUAUGCAAAAUAUUGCUUGUGUUAUUUGGUUGCAGAUUUGAUUAAUUCUACCUGCUUUAUUUGUUUGGGCGUCUAUUGUUACUGCUGUUUGAUUAAUUCUCAUCUUUUCAUGUUGAGCGCGAUGUGUUUAUUGAAUUGCCUGUGCACUGAUGUAUAUUCUCUUGGUCGAAACUUGAAAGUGAGGGACUGUUCAUGUGCUUGAAAAUCUUCAUCUAGAAACUGCAUGUUUGGCUUACCAUUCCACCAUUUCUUACUCUAGGACAACCCAUUGAAAAUAUUAUUUGCAAUAGUCUCAGGAAUUGCAGAUGUUUGAGUGGUACUGUUAAGGCAGCAUCAUUGACUAAUGCGCAUGAGAAAUAGAGUAAAUAAUCUGAGAAAGGCUUUGCAGAAUGUGUGACACAGUAUCUGGUGGACAAAAUUGAUCUCUCCCGGAAUUAGAGUAGAAUCUUGGAGGGCAAUUUAGAAUUAUAAGAAUGCCUUGGACACUAUCAGAUAUUCAGAUACACAGUGGGAUAGUGCUGGACAAUAACGUUUUUGGACAAUCACUAGAAGCUACUACUGUGGGGCACAUGGCAUCAUAGUAAGUUUCUUCCUUCUUUCCAAUAUGUUUCUGUCAUUUCGGUGCUCACAAUUUCGGCUCAAGUUCUGGUAUAGUGGUUUUUGCUGAACUGUUUUGGUGCAUGUUGCAUAUAGUCAAGUUCUGGAAUGAAUUAUUCUGUUUUUCGGUUUCUUUUCUGGGGAAUCCUCUGAAGGCUUCUUCCUCUUCUCAUCCUUCUAGUUCAAAUAAUAGAUAUUUGUCAACAAAUCUCAUUGGCAGUAUUGGAGGGGAUAAACUUGCAGCUAAAACUUCAUUUAUUUCAAAUCUAAAGAAAAGAAUGUUCUAGGAUAAGAGUGAUAAUUGCCAGCUAUUUCUAUUUUAAAUCUAAACUAUUUACUAAAAUUAUUGAAUCUGUGAGUAUCUGAGAUAAGUUUUAUGGUUUUAGGAAGGCUUCUACUACCACCAUGCAGAACGAGAAUAUGCAAUGUUGACAUACUGGAUCCCAUAAGGGCCUAGCAUGCUUCGGGCUAAUGCUUCACAUCCCAAAAAAAGGAAGUAUAUGCUUUUGAUGUUCAAGUAGAUAGGACUUUUCUUAUUUUUAAUGUUGGCUUUGGAGGAUGGGAAAUCUUCCCGUGUAUCAUUUUUGAAUGUUUCUUCUAAUACUAUGAAUUGAAUAAUAAGAUUCAA